RNAcentral lists this ribosomal RNA (307 nucleotides) under uncultured bacterium. Its description in RNAcentral is "partial 16S ribosomal RNA". It matches the Rfam family "Bacterial small subunit ribosomal RNA", at positions 506 to 807 of the family's 1533-position model. The record is from RNAcentral.
AGACAGCAGCAGCCACGGGAAUACGUAGGGUGCAAGCGUUAAUCGGAAUUACUGGGCGUAAAGCGUGCGCAGGCGGUUAUAUAAGUCAGAUGUGAAAUCCCCGGGCUCAACCUGGGAACUGCAUUUGAGACUGUAUGGCUAGAGUGUGUCAGAGGGGGGUAGAAUUCCACGUGUAGCAGUGAAAUGCGUAGAUAUGUGGAGGAAUACCGAUGGCGAAGGCAGCCCCCUGGGAUAACACUGACGCUCAUGCACGAAAGCGUGGGGAGCAAACAGGAUUAGAUACCCGUGUAGUCCCUGUCUCUUAUAC